Non-coding RNA from Acanthosepion pharaonis, 111 nucleotides. The record is from the annotation of a GenBank genome assembly. Lineage: Eukaryota; Metazoa; Mollusca; Cephalopoda; Sepiida; Sepiidae.
AGGUCAUAUCAGGUUGAAACACCGGUUCUCGUACGAUCACCUGCGUUAAGCAACGUCCAGCCUGUUCAGUACCUAGAUGGGGGACCGCUUGGAAAUACCAGGUUCUGUAAG